This 214-nucleotide long non-coding RNA is filed under the name Prunus persica (peach). RNAcentral's name for it is "long non-coding RNA (PPER_LNC008315)". The record is from RNAcentral. Lineage: Eukaryota; Viridiplantae; Streptophyta; Magnoliopsida; Rosales; Rosaceae.
AUAAAACAAAAUAGGAAGAAUUAUGGGGUCGAUUUAUAACUUUGCGAAUCAAUUUAUUUAACCAGAAUAGUAAAAUUGUAUGACAUUCUAUCAUAUAAAAAACACAAAUAUUUAUGUAAUUUACUCAACUCAAUUCAAGCGGUGAAAUAUAUCAGAAUUAGUUUGUAUUUAAUUGUGACGGGAAUCUUAUAAUAACAAUUGAGUAGGGGAGGUU